This 547-nucleotide ribosomal RNA is filed under the name bacterium MC205. RNAcentral describes it as "bacterial SSU rRNA". It matches the Rfam family "Bacterial small subunit ribosomal RNA", at positions 385 to 922 of the family's 1533-position model. The record is from RNAcentral.
GACGGAGCAACGCCGCGUGAGUGAUGAAGGCUUUCGGGUCGUAAAACUCUGUUGUUAGGGAAGAACAAGUGCUAGUUGAAUAAGCUGGCACCUUGACGGUACCUAACCAGAAAGCCACGGCUAACUACGUGCCAGCAGCCGCGGUAAUACGUAGGUGGCAAGCGUUAUCCGGAAUUAUUGGGCGUAAAGCGCGCGCAGGUGGUUUCUUAAGUNUGAUGUGAAAGCCCACGGCUCAACCGUGGAGGGUCNUUGGAAACUGGGAGACUUGAGUGCANAANAGGAAANUGGAAUUCCAUGUGUNGCGGUGAAAUGCGUANAGAUAUGGAGGAACACCAGUGGCGAAGGCGACUUUCUGGUCUGUAACUGACACUGAGGCGCGAAAGCGUGGGGAGCAAACAGGAUUAGAUACCCUGGUAGUCCACGCCGUAAACGAUGAGUGCUAAGUGUUAGAGGGUUUCCGCCCUUUAGUGCUGAAGUUAACGCAUUAAGCACUCCGCCUGGGGAGUACGGCCGCAAGGCUGAAACUCAAAGGUUUUNNCNGGGGGAA